Molecule: ribosomal RNA, 874 nt
Filed under: uncultured Neocallimastigales
Lineage: Eukaryota; Fungi; Neocallimastigomycota; Neocallimastigomycetes; Neocallimastigales
Description: partial large subunit ribosomal RNA
Rfam family: Eukaryotic large subunit ribosomal RNA
Source: RNAcentral
CGCAUCUGUGCAUGCAGCAUAUCAAUAAGCGGAGGAAAAGGCUGCGGAACUGAACGACCGCUACCUACGCUUAGGAUGUUGACGAGACUGUCGAUCUCAUCUGUACAUGGCUCUGUGCAUAUCAAUAAGCGGAGGAAAAGAAACUAACAAGGAUUCCCCUAGUAACGGCGAGUGAAGCGGGAAGAGCUCAAAUUUGAAAUCUUAAAGGGUUUCCCUUUACGAAUUGUAGUUUAAAGAAGUGUUUUCUGUUGAGGUUUUGGUAAAAGUUCUUUGGAAUAGGACAUCAUAGAGGGUGAGAAUCCCGUAUUUGACCUUUACUUUCAACUUUGUGAUACACUUUCGAAGAGUCGGAUUGUUUGGGAAUGCAGUCCAAAAUGGGUGGUAAAUUUCAUCUAAAGCUAAAUAUUGGCGAGAGACCGAUAGCGAACAAGUACCGUGAGGGAAAGAUGAAAAGAACUUUGAAAAGAGAGUUAAACAGUACGUGAAAUUGUCAAAAGGGAAGCGUUUGACACCAGUGUUGUUUUUCUGAAAAUCAAUUAAAGAACUGUUUAUGCUAAGUUGUUUAGACUUUAUCAGCUAACUGUUUAGUUUUGAGCUUUUCUUUAAUGCACUUUUCAGUUAACAAGUCAACAUCAAUUUCUUUUGCUGUAAAAAAGCUUGAGGAAGGUGGCUUGAGAUUCGUCUUAAGUGUUUAUAGCCUCUUGCCUAUGCAGUCGGAGAGAUUGAGGUCUGCAGCGUAGAUCCUUCGGGGCUAAAUGCAUUUGUGCUAAGUUAUAGCAUUUUAUAGACAACUUGUUGACUAUGAUUUGUCUUGUAGCUUACUCGCUUAUGUUAUUUUACCUACGCUUAGGAUGUUGAGCGCAUGUCUCUCUCU